Molecule: unclassified non-coding RNA, 844 nt
Filed under: Zea mays
Lineage: Eukaryota; Viridiplantae; Streptophyta; Magnoliopsida; Poales; Poaceae
Description: misc RNA Zm00001eb200850
Source: RNAcentral
CCCGUGAGUACCUAGCUAGCUUCCCUAUAAAUAGCUGCCGAGCUCCGCUCAAGCUUGUUCAUCCACUCUCAUCACCAGCUAAGAACAGGGCUUCGUCUCAAUGGAAGGCAAAACAGGGCAGCUCAGGUGCUGUUUCGUCGCCAUCGUGCUCGUCCUGGGUCUUGUCCUUGAGUCCCACCAGGCUGAAGCUGGAGGCAAAUGGUGCUGCGAAACCGCCACCGGAAAAUACCAUUUUAAUCGCUGCGUUGACUCGGGUUUGGUCGACAAUAUUGGGUUCUGUGCGGGUAAUGCCGGUUGCAUCAUUAUGGAAGACAGAUGUGGAGGCCGUUGGCCGGUGAUGCGCUUUCCCUGGAUGUCAUUUGAUUAAUUAUAAGCAAGUACGUGAAGAAACGAGGGCCAGACGACUGUCGUCCAGCGAUUGGUUAUUUGUGAACUUGUCGUUUGUCUUCUUAUUUCAACUUUCCAAUAAGCCCCUUCGUGAAGUGUCAUCCCCUUCAAAGUCUGUCGACUGUUACGUAUACAAAUCUAUAUAUCAAAUAAAGACGGCGCCGUACGUGUGUAUAUGUCUCUAUUUCUGAUCUUGCAGUCGUUUGCUUAAUCAAUUGUUCUGUCACUAUUUUAUCUAAUAAAAUUGCACGUACGCAUGUAUAUGGUUUCACAGCUAAAAAAUAAUUCUCGCCUUGACAAUUACUGUUUUUUCAUAAAAUAUUAUCUGCAUAACCAAGUUUAAAAGUACGACAAAACGUAAAAUGGGCAGAGCAGAUGUCUGCAUGCACGGACGGAACGAUCGAUAUGCAGAUAUGCUGCGGCGCGCAACCCGGUUAGGCGUUACCAAAUAAGUUAC